CCUGCCGCCAGCUGUUUGUUUAGAAAUUCUAGGUACAAUUAAAAGGCCUGCAUCUUGCGAUCUAAGGUUACGUGUAGUAUAGGAUCCACGGUUCCCCUGCCUUUACUAAACCUACUUUGGUCAUGGGACAUCAAUAAUGCUGCUCUCUAGGAAGCUGUGAGAGGCGUGACCUAGGGAGGAACUAGGUCAAGGGGCGUGGCCAUUCACUCCUGCACAGUUUCCACACAGCUGCAGCUCAUUCCAUUCAUCACCUCUGCAGUCUAUCUACCCAGGCUGUUCACCUCUUCGGUGCCAGAUUGUAAAACAACACUUGUGAUCCUGCUCAAACUGCUGCUGCCUGCUACUUACCUGAGUUACCUGCUUCACUGCCUCCCCGCUGGGACCUGUUGAGCCAUUACUCUGCCGCUUUCUGCUGAGCUGCUGACUUCCACCCUGCACUGCUCACUCACAUUCCCCUGGAUUUUUGUCGGUAAGUCAAGACUGGACUUUCUCAGACUGCCCACUCCGAUUCUCAGUUCUGCCCUGGAUUCCUCUCUGCCUGCCUGCCUGGCGCAUCACUACCAUCCAGAAGCUGC
Molecule: long non-coding RNA, 575 nt
Organism: Esox lucius (northern pike)
Lineage: Eukaryota; Metazoa; Chordata; Actinopteri; Esociformes; Esocidae
Source: Ensembl